UACGUAGGGUGCGAGCGUUGUCCGGAAUUAUUGGGCGUAAAGAGCUUGUAGGCGGUUUGUUGCGUCUGCCGUGAAAGCCCAGGGCUUAACCCUGGGUCUGCGGUGGGUACGGGCAGACUAGAGUGUGGUAGGGGAGACUGGAAUUCCUGGUGUAGCGGUGAAAUGCGUAGAGAUCGGGAGGAACACCAGUGGCGAAGGCGGCUACCUGGACCAGCACUGACACUGAAGCACGAAAGCGUGGGGAGCAAACGGG
RNAcentral lists this ribosomal RNA (253 nucleotides) under uncultured bacterium. RNAcentral's name for it is "partial 16S ribosomal RNA". It matches the Rfam family "Bacterial small subunit ribosomal RNA", at positions 524 to 776 of the family's 1533-position model. The record is from RNAcentral.